RNAcentral lists this long non-coding RNA (264 nucleotides) under Jatropha curcas. RNAcentral's name for it is "long non-coding RNA (JCUR_LNC003147)". The record is from RNAcentral. Lineage: Eukaryota; Viridiplantae; Streptophyta; Magnoliopsida; Malpighiales; Euphorbiaceae.
UGGAUAAAAAUCUCCAAAAGGUUCCCAAAAUGGAAGCCGGUGAAAAGGAAUCCGGUAAUCUAAUUGUAAGAUUGAGAAGAAACUACAAGCAUAAACUGAAAACAAACAAGAGAAGAACCAAUACAAGAAAAAUAAAAGGACAAAGACCUUCCAACAAUGAAAUUUUUUCUUCCCUUUGAUCAAUUGAACAAACCGGAUUCCUCUUCGCCGGAUAAUCCAUUGUAAAUUCCUUACUCAUAAUUACUGAAUAUAGUUUCCCUCACA